CCAAUAGCGUAUAUUAAAGUUGUUGCAGUUAAAAAGCUCGUAGUUGAAUUUCGGGAUCAAUAUGUUGGUCGUGCCUCGGUACGUACUAGCUUAUUGGUUUCUCCUUUCUGAAGAACCAUGAUGUCAUUUAUUUGGUGUCGUGGGGAGUCAGGACUGUUACUUUGAAAAAAUUAGAGUGUUUAAAGCAGGCUCACGCUUGAAUACAUUAGCAUGGAAUAAUGAAAUAGGACGUUUGAUUCUAUUUUGUUGGUUUUUAGGAUCGACGUAAUGAUUAAUAGGGAUAGUUGGGGGCAUUAGUAUUCGAUUGUCAGAGGUGAAAUUCUUGGAUUUAUUGAAGACUAACUACUGCGAAAGCAUUUGCCAAGGAUGUUUUCAUUAAUCAAGAACGAAAGUUAGGGGACCGAAGACGAUCAGAUACCGUCGUAGUCUUAACCAUAAACUAUGCCGACUAGGGAUCGGAUGAUGUUAAUUUUUUAAUGACUCAUUCGGCGCCUUAC
RNAcentral lists this ribosomal RNA (497 nucleotides) under uncultured Glomeromycotina. Its description in RNAcentral is "partial small subunit ribosomal RNA". It matches the Rfam family "Eukaryotic small subunit ribosomal RNA", at positions 591 to 1091 of the family's 1831-position model. Lineage: Eukaryota; Fungi; Glomeromycota. The record is from RNAcentral.